GUAAAAUUACAGCAGUCACUGGAAAUGCAACAUCUAGUACAAAAGCUCCAGCAACUCAUUUGUAGGUUUGAAUUCUUUUGGUGCAAACAUAUUUAGAGGGAAGAAAACUAAACAACUAACUAACUAUCUAAAUGAAGCCACAUAUUGGACAUUAUUGAUCAAUACUACACAGAAAAACAAUACCCUCUAUUGCUAAGGGUAGCUAUUUUUUAGAAAAAAACAUGGAUAAAAAACUUCAGGAUGAGGAAGCUCAAGAG
This 257-nucleotide unclassified non-coding RNA is filed under the name Hevea brasiliensis (rubber tree). The record is from RNAcentral. Lineage: Eukaryota; Viridiplantae; Streptophyta; Magnoliopsida; Malpighiales; Euphorbiaceae.